This 319-nucleotide small nuclear RNA is filed under the name Castor canadensis (American beaver). RNAcentral's name for it is "7SK RNA (ENSCCNG00000005244.1)". The stretch from base 1 to 273 matches the Rfam family "7SK RNA", at positions 42 to 331 of the family's 331-position model. From Rfam's summary of the family: 7SK was discovered as an abundant small nuclear RNA in the mid-70s but a possible function has only recently been suggested. Two independent studies have found that 7SK RNA binds the CDK9/cyclin T complex (known as elongation factor P-TEFb). The record is from Rfam by way of RNAcentral. Lineage: Eukaryota; Metazoa; Chordata; Mammalia; Rodentia; Castoridae.
GGAUGCUGCUCAAGUGGUAGGACACUGGCCUAGUACAAGGCCCUGGAUUCUAUCCCCUGGCUGGCUAGGCGGGUGUCCCCUUCUUCCCUCACCACUCCCGAUGCCUUCUUCCCGAAGCUGUGCUUCCUCCACAGAGAACCAUUCUUCAGUCUAGGGUAUAUGAGUAGUGUGCUCCCCUGUUAGAACCUCCAAAUAAGCUCUCAAGAAAAGAGUUGAUUGGGAGCGGCAGGAGAUUGUCACAUGGGGUGCACAUGACAUGGUAUACCACAAAGGCCAUCGACAGAUUCAGAAGGGCGAAGAAGGUUAUGUAAGCUGUUCU